This 358-nucleotide long non-coding RNA is filed under the name Volvox carteri. RNAcentral's name for it is "long non-coding RNA (VCAR_LNC002754)". The record is from RNAcentral. Lineage: Eukaryota; Viridiplantae; Chlorophyta; Chlorophyceae; Chlamydomonadales; Volvocaceae.
AGCAUUUGCUCUGCUGGUGACCCAUGGUUCCGCAGAACUCGCAAGAUGGCCUAUUCCCCCGCGAUUCGCUAGCACCCUGUCCCUGCUUGGGCUUAGAUGGCCCAGCCCCCUUCUGCUUUUGCCCGCCCAUUCCUCUGGACCCCCCUGAGGUCGACGCGCUGCCCUGUCCCUGGGAAAUCAAGGCAACCAAACGCUCAACAAUACCGGAGGGGAUGUCAGAGGUCAAAAGCGCGGACUUCGUCUUUGGGGGAUUUAAGACACGGCACUGCGCCGUAUCGUGAGAUGCAUUAGUGCCGUGCUUCUCGCAGUAAAAGGUGCGUUUUUCCUUAAUAGGGGGUUUUGCUGCACUCUUCUGCUG